RNAcentral lists this long non-coding RNA (5383 nucleotides) under Daphnia pulicaria. RNAcentral's name for it is "uncharacterized LOC124311652, transcript variant X1". Lineage: Eukaryota; Metazoa; Arthropoda; Branchiopoda; Diplostraca; Daphniidae. The record is from RNAcentral.
CUGUGUACACAGCAGUCCUCAAAAGGCAAACCAACAGCGAGCGGAUGUUCAAGCUAAUUUCUUUAUCGAGACAUAUUUGCUUGUUGCUUUAAGAGAGAAGAGUUCCCCUAUUAGUAGGAAGAUCAUAUGUCUUGUUAUUGAUAGAUUGCAACGUUUUUAUUUUUCGUAUCUCUCACUUGGGUUUCUGCCCAAUAACCUCUUGCAAUCGCAUUUUUUUUUUAUGUUUGAAAAUUUCUUCUCCCUUCUUUGAUUUUGGCGGGUUUCUUUGAUAUCUUGCAGCGGCCGAUUUGUGUCGUCUGCUCUCGUUAUGUUUCACAGUUUCGAAAAAGCAAAAAGAAACGUAGGUUCAGAUACUUUUUAUUAUAGAAAACUGAACAACGGAUUGGAUAGGCUACAUGGCUGCAACUUGCAAGAGAUAUAGAAGAACAAAAUAAAAUAUGAUCGUCGUGUGAACUUUGUUGUAUAGUGAUUCCUCAUGCUCUCCAUUCCAUGAGGUCAGGUACUAAAUGAAACUAAGAUACAAAUGGAAUGAUAUCAGGAGCUUUAUACAGAAGAGCAGGAGCCUGUUCCAAAUUUGUGAAAUGUUGGUGCCCGAGCCCGACUACAGUGACUAGCAUUUAUCAUAUUUCAGGUCUGGAGCCAGCCAUCGUAACCACAAGAUGUACAAGUUUUGAUACUGACAUGACAUCAUCCAACAAUCUCAACAUCAUCAAUUGGAUAAACAGCAUUCCGUUUAAUUGGAGAAACUUCCAGUGUCGACCGAGUAACAGAUCUCUCUUUUCCCCCUUUCUUUAAAUGUCCUCGUGUACGCCCAUGUGAAUGUGGGUGUAUUCACGAGGACUCCCUUUUACCUAUCCUUGCUGGUCGUGGAUUCAACUUUGCUGUGGAUGGAGCCUUUCGGAUGCCUGGCUGUGGAUUUCCCAGGCAUAAAGGAACGAAAACCGAGCCACGGUCACUACUGUAGAGUACCUGACCCGGAAUAAAGGUGCUAGCGCCCGACGGACUCAGCAAAAUCUUGCCCGGCACGAAUCGAGGACCAGUUUUACUACCAAAUACUUGUCCAGGUUGGCCUUGGAAGAUUUUUGAUGAGAUGGGAGGAGGUUUGAAUGGCAUUACCAUAGCCGCAUACCCGGAAUGAUUCCUGCCUGCCUGGCUGGCCUGGCCUGCCCACCUUCAUCAUUCGCAAGCCAACAGACGCAGGAAGGAAGGAGAAAAAGAUCUGAUUUAUUUGAUUUUCUAUUUUCCGCGCGCGCGUCCGUCCUGCUGCUGGCAAUAGCGGACACGGCGAGUCAUUUUCGUUGCCGUUCGACGGGCUUUCAAUGAAGCGAACAAGAAAAGCUGAAAUGAGAGAGAACGCCGGACUCGAUUGCUGUUGACGAUGUGAGGCGAGACAAGACCAUAGCAAAAAUAACGAAAGAAAAUAAGGAAAAAGGCGAAACAAAACAAAUCAAGAGAAUUCAAAAUGGACGUGGCAGCGUCCGUCCCGCAUUGGCGCGAAAAUUCCAAACUACCACCGACGUUCGCGGCGCCCGGCAUAAACCAUACAAGAUUUAGAGGUGACUCACCGUCCAAACAUUCGCCCGAAGAGAGCAUAGCAGUAGAGUAAAAGUGUUAGUCCGUGACAUGCGGCGCGAUGAGCAAAACCUCUUUCAACAGCAACAACUAGACCAUUGAGUCUUUGCUUGUCUUUUUAUACACUGAUGUCUGUAUUUUCUCGAGUCGUGCGCAGCAUCAUCAACAACAGCAACAGCAUCGGAUGAAUCAACAUUUUUCGCUUAAACGACCGGCGCGCAAGACGCAGAGGUAUUAGAGUGCGCUGCUGAUGACGGACGCCUGUAUCCAUAUUUGGCGGUGUUGAUAUGGAGAGCUUUUGCGGAUGAAUAGAAUAAGAUAUACUUGCUUGGAUAUAUACUACCUGCCUCAUGUAUAGAAAUAGAGCGCGCGCGCGCGGUCGUCGAGACGACUGCUGCUGGGCCGGGCCCCACAUCAUGCCUGCGCGAUGACGUAAAAAGAUGUGUCGUGAUCUGGUUAUUGGGAUCCUGCCACCGGCUGUUGGGGCCAAAGUACUUUUCUGCAUGCGUCGCCCCUCAUAUUCUAUACUGUUUCUUCCUGCUGUUGAUUAUAUGUAUUGAUUGAUUUAUUUAUGAUGAUUUGACCAUCGCGCACCACCAUCAUCUUUUUGCACCGGCAAAUGACCAGCGCCUGAUGUUUCUUUCUCUGCCGAGUUCUUUUUUUCUUUUUUUCUUUGUUGUUUCUUCGCUUGUUUUUUGCGAUGACUAAAUUUCUCUCUGCAUUCCACUUUGAUUUGUUUUGCUGCUUCUGCUGUUUCGUUUUCAUCUGCGCUUUCUUUUUGGCAGUGUGGAAUGCAGCAUACGUAUAGUAUAGAGAAAAGAAAAAAGUAGAACUUGCGGCCGUCAUUCCAUCCAUUCCUUUAGCGACCAAGAAGAAGCACGAGGUGCGUAUUCAAAUGUUUCUCUCAUUGGAAUUCCCAUACAAUUUUUUCUUGUUCUUCUCCCCUUUCCUGUUGUUCCUUUUUGCAAUUGCUACCGUUGGCUUGCUAUUCUCUAUCCCCUGUUCAAUGGCAAGUCCAUCGCCAUGCAGAUCCAUUUUCAGACAGCAAGACGACAAUCAAGUAUAGACCCAAUUCGUUUAAUUGAUUAUAACGAGGAGCUAUAGUACAGAUAUUAUAGACACGCCCCUCGUUCGCCGUAUAGCAUUCCAUUGCCAUUCUAACCAUUUAAACGUUUUUUUUAAUUAAAUCCAACAUUUUGGCGCCAGAGAGGGGGAAGAAGGAGAGAUGGAUGAUGCCGGAAUUCAAGAUGGCCAUCGAUUCUUCCGACUUUUGGCGGUUUGUUUCUUUUUAAAUUUGCAAAAAAGCCAAUGAAACGGGAGGAGAAGAAAGGGCAAAACGUUGCGCUCGUUCAUCACAAUGACAUCAAAAGAGUUUGGCCUGCUGAUGUUGUGUCUUAUGUGCUGUUCUCUAUGCGGCGGCCGCUGCAUUAUCCAAUCCGCGCAACUGUCGCGGAUAUGAACCGUUGCACUGGAUGGACGAGGACGACGAAUGCCAUUCCAACCGUUGGCGACGGCGGCAGUUCGCAAAAGAGUGCACCGUGCUGUAGAUACUAGCAGGACAUUUGUUUACAAAACACGGAUGGCGGCGACAAUGAAUUGUUAGAAAUAAAGAAAAAAAAGUUAGACAAAUUUGAUCAAACAACGACCAUUUAAGUUGAAUUCAAAGUCUCAUUUUCUGCUCUGUUGUCAGGCUAUUUUUGCCAGCUCCCGAUGUUUUUUUCCUCUGUUUUUGCCUGAACCGAAAUUCCUACAUAAUCCACUGUCCACCAGGUGUAAUAAUAAUAAUAAUAAAGGGAACCUGCCUGCCGCUGCCAGAUGAAAAAUCGUCCAAUCCGCCAACGACUCACGAUGGCGUCUCCGACUCGCCGUCCAGACGAGGCUCGGAUCAUUUAUCCCGCAGCGGAGGCGAUUCUGGCCCUUCUCAACAAGAGAACUCGUCCCUUAAGGAUCGUUGACUCAAUUUGGAAAAGGGAUUCUUCUUUUUCAUUUUGUGCUGACGGUUGUCACAAACCAUUUCUUUUCUAGUUGAUAUAUUCGACUUGGUUGUCGUUCAAACUAGCCAGCCGUUGUCAUAAACUCCGUUUUGUUGCUAUAGUGGGCUCACUGCAGGCUUCUGUGUGUUUACAAGCUAUGCAGCCGAGAUGGGCGGGUGAACAACAAAACAAAACAAAACAAAAAAACAAAUACAAACAUCUGGACGAAUAAUAUGAAUGAGGAUUGAGGAGAUAUCAAGUUGGCAAGCCACGGACACGCAUUCUUCAGUCAGUCAGUCAGACAGUUGGGUUGAUUUUUAGUUCCUUACGUUAAGGGGUGGGCCAUGCAGCUCGGCUAUACAGGAGAAAGACACUCUACCCAGCAGCAUUGGAAAAUAAAAAAAAGGUGAAAGGGAUGUGGAUAUAAGAAGAAGGAUAAACGCUAUACUCGCGUGGGUAUAUCUGGGCCGCUUUCCUGCUGCAAGUUUGAUCCUAAGGAUUUGUCCACGUUGCCAAGACAUUUCAUCCGAGCAAAGAUAGAGAGAGAGGCAACCUCUGCAUACUGCUGCACAAACUGAUCCCCUGUUCUAUCAGCUCCUGUCCGAUACAACGGAUUUUCCAUCCCCUACUACAUAUGAUAUAGCUGGCCAUCGGAUGCAUGACACGUCUAAUGCGACUGAUGGAUCAUACGCCAAUCACGUGAAAAAAAGGCUAAGAAACCUGCUAUGACGGGUCUUGGCCAACACGUCGGUGGUACAGUGACACUAUACAUGAUUGCACAUUGGAAUUUUUAGGCAAUACCUUCAAUAGCAUCCCUUGUUGGACAAUAUCUAUAAUUAUACAAGGACGCGAUACACACACACACACACAUACACAUACGCACACACACUGCAGGCACUGCUGUGAGGAGGAGGUGACGGGCAGCAGAUUAGAUUUUCUGGCGAUAGUUUUGGCGUGUGCAAAGUGGGCGGUCAAUUAAGACAGGAAACGUCAAUCAUUCAAACACCCACUUCAUCAUUUGUUGCUGUCGUCAAUCACUUGAGUCGUCGUCGUCCUUGAAUGCAGAUGAUGACUAUACGCAUUGGACAACUUAUUCCUACUAUCGAUCGAUAUAGUUCGCUAACUUGCGCAACUUUUGGAUGAAACUGUAGUAGCUACUUAAUAUUCAAAGAAAUUUAUUUUUCAAAUUCCAGUUAAAGAGCCCUAUUUACGUUCGUCGGUGGUGACAAUCAGAUAAGAAGGAUGUGAUAGACGUCCGAAGGCUCACUGGAGACGGUGACAUUGCUGAAGGUUAUUCUGCUGCGAUUUGUUUUCCAUUUGGGGAAGUAAUAUUAUGAUACAUAUAUGAGGAAAAGCGGAAACGAUGUGAAAUACUGUUGGGCAGGAAAUAACUUCCAAUCAUGGUUGACGCAAUCUCUAGUACCUCCAAAAAGGGCACUGAAAUAUGUUCUUCUUCUCAACACAUUUGAACACGUUUUUUCCCCUUCAGGUCUAUAAUAGGUAACAACAAGGAACCGAUGACGCAAUGGAAAAGAAUAGCGUGAUCAUAGGAGGUGAUGAAGUAAGACGGUAGAGCGCUAGGUGGCAGUAGGUAGGGCUCCAUUGUUCACCCAUUUAUUUAUUCUUCGCAGUUCCGUGAAGUUAUAUUCUAUCUAGACGAACAGCUCGAAAGUCACAUCACUGAGAUAUAGCGAUAUCGAUAUUCGUUUAAAUGUACAGUUUAAUACCUUUCUUCAGUAUCGUCGUCAAUUGUGCGCAUAACGGUGGAUACCGGUACUCGUGUUAUAAUUUCUAACACAAUUGUUGUAAGAUGACAUGAGAUUAAAAAUAAUAAAAAA